UCCUACGGGAGGCAGCAGUGGGGAAUAUUGGACAAUGGGGGCAACCCUGAUCCAGCAAUGCCGCGUGUGUGAAGAAGGCCUGCGGGUUGUAAAGCACUUUCAAUUGGGAAGAAAAGCAGUCGGUUAAUACCCGGCUGUCUUGACGUUACCUUUACAAGAAGCACCGGCUAACUCCGUGCCAGCAGCCGCGGUAAUACGGAGGGUGCGAGCGUUAAUCGGAAUUACUGGGCGUAAAGCGCGCGUAGGCGGUUGUGUAAGUCGGAUGUGAAAGCCCAGGGCUUAACCUUGGAAUUGCAUUCGAAACUGCACAGCUAGAGUAUGGGAGAGGGAAGCGGAAUUUCCGGUGUAGCGGUGAAAUGCGUAGAUAUCGGAAGGAACAUCAGUGGCGAAGGCGGCUUCCUGGACCAAUACUGACGCUGAGGUGCGAAAGCGUGGGUAGCGAACAGGAUUAGAUACCCUGGUAGUCCACGCCGUAAACGAUGACAACUAGAUGUUGGGAGGAUUUGCCUCUCGGUGUCGCAGUUAACGCGUUAAGUUGUCCGCCUGGGGAGUACGCCGGCAACGGUAAAACUCAAAUGAAUUGACGGA
RNAcentral lists this ribosomal RNA (588 nucleotides) under uncultured Gammaproteobacteria bacterium. RNAcentral describes it as "bacterial SSU rRNA". It matches the Rfam family "Bacterial small subunit ribosomal RNA", at positions 337 to 917 of the family's 1533-position model. Lineage: Bacteria; Pseudomonadati; Pseudomonadota; Gammaproteobacteria. The record is from RNAcentral.